Molecule: ribosomal RNA, 513 nt
Filed under: uncultured bacterium
Lineage: Bacteria
Description: partial 16S ribosomal RNA
Rfam family: Bacterial small subunit ribosomal RNA
Source: RNAcentral
GACGAACGCUGGCGGCGUGCUUAACACAUGCAAGUCGAACGAAAAGAGGGAAAGAGCUUGCUCUUUCCGGAAUUGAGUGGCAAACGGGUGAGUAACACGUAAACAACCUGCCUUCAGGAUGGGGACAACAGACGGAAACGACUGCUAAUACCGAAUAAGUUCCAAGGGCCGCAUGGCCCAUGGAAGAAAAGGUGGCCUCUAGCUGUAAGCUAUCGCCUGAAGAGGGGUUUGCGUCUGAUUAGCUGGUUGGAGGGGUAACGGCCCACCAAGGCGACGAUCAGUAGCCGGUCUGAGAGGAUGAACGGCCACACUGGAAUUGAGACACGGUCCAGACUCCUACGGGGAGCAGCAGUGGGGAAUCUUCCGCAAUGGGAGAAAGCCUGACGGAGCAACGCCGCGUGAGUGAUGACGGCCGUCGGGUUGUAAAACUCUGUGAUCCGGGACGAAAAGGCAGAGUGCGAAGAACAAACUGCAUUGACGGUACCGGAAAAGCAAGCCACGGCUAACUACGUG